This 198-nucleotide unclassified non-coding RNA is filed under the name uncultured Clavicipitaceae. Its description in RNAcentral is "sequence contains ITS1". Lineage: Eukaryota; Fungi; Ascomycota; Sordariomycetes; Hypocreales; Clavicipitaceae. The record is from RNAcentral.
CCGAGUUUACAACUCCCAAACCCCCUGUGAACUUAUACCAUUACUGUUGCUUCGGCGGGUUAUUGCCCCGGGGAAAGGACCAGGUGCCGUCAAGGUUCCCUGCCCGCCCCCGGAAACAGGCGCCUGCCGGGGGACUCAAACUCUUCUGUAUUUUUUUGUUUACUGUAUACUGUCUGAGUAAAAAUUCAUAAUGAAUCA